UGCGUAGGGUGCGAGCGUUAAUCGGAAUUACUGGGCGUAAAGCGUGCGUAGGUGGUCUUUUAAGUCCGUUGUGAAAGCCCUGGGCUCAACCUGGGAAUGGCAGUGGAUACUGGAAGGCUGGAGUACGGUAGAGGAGGGUGGAAUUCCCGGUGUAGCGGUGAAAUGCGCAGAUAUCAGGAGGAACACCGGUGGCGAAGGCGGGUCUCUGGGCCGAAACUGACGCUGAGGAGCGAAAGCGUGGGGAGCAAACAGG
Molecule: ribosomal RNA, 253 nt
Filed under: uncultured bacterium
Lineage: Bacteria
Description: partial 16S ribosomal RNA
Rfam family: Bacterial small subunit ribosomal RNA
Source: RNAcentral